RNAcentral lists this ribosomal RNA (367 nucleotides) under Microbacterium sp. RNAcentral describes it as "bacterial LSU rRNA". It matches the Rfam family "Bacterial large subunit ribosomal RNA", at positions 2563 to 2925 of the family's 2925-position model. The record is from RNAcentral. Lineage: Bacteria; Bacillati; Actinomycetota; Actinomycetes; Micrococcales; Microbacteriaceae.
UCCCAAGGGUUGGGCUGUUCGCCCAUUAAAGCGGUACGCGAGCUGGGUUUAGAACGUCGUGAGACAGUUCGGUCCCUAUCCGCUGCGCGCGUAGGAAGUUUGAGAGGAUCUGACCCUAGUACGAGAGGACCGGGUUGGACGAACCUCUGGUGUGUCAGUUGUUCCGCCAGGAGCACCGCUGAUUAGCUACGUUCGGGAUGGAUAACCGCUGAAAGCAUCUAAGCGGGAAGCCGGCCUCAAGAUGAGACUUCCAUGCCUUCGGGCGAGAGGCUCCCAGCCAGACUACUGGGUUGAUAGGCCGGAUGUGGAAGCGCGGUAACGCGUGAAGCUGACCGGUACUAAUAAGCCGAUGACUUGAUAACACCUC